Corchorus olitorius is the source of this 1872-nucleotide non-coding RNA. The record is from Rfam. Lineage: Eukaryota; Viridiplantae; Streptophyta; Magnoliopsida; Malvales; Malvaceae.
GGUUAAGCUAAUAAGAGCACACGGAGGAUGCCUAGGCGCUAGGAGCCGAAGAAGGACGUGGCGAACGACGAAAUGCCUCGGGGAGCCGUAAGCAGGCUUUGAUCCGGGGAUGUCCGAAUGGGGGAACCCAGCUGAGGUAAUUCUCAGUUACCAUGCAGUGAAUACAUAGCUGCAUUGGAGGCAUACGAGGGGAACUGAAACAUCUAAGUACCCUCAGGAGAAGAAAACAAGAGUGAUUCCGUCAGUAGCGGCGAGCGAAAGCGGAACAGCCCAAACCAAGGGGCUUGCCCCUUGGGGUUGUGGGACGUCAAUGUGGGUUUAGCAGAGUAGAUGAAGCGGUCUGGAAAGGCCGGCCACAGAAGGUAACAGCCCUGUAAUCGAAAUUUUGCGAAAACCCUAGACGGAUCCCGAGUACCGCGAGACACGUGAAACCUCGUGGGAAGCAGGCAGGACCAUCUGCCAAGGCUAAAUACUCCCUAGCGACCGAUAGUGAAGCAGUACCGUGAGGGAAAGGUGAAAAGAACCGCGGGAGCGGAGUGAAAUAGAACCUGAAACCGUGUGCUUACAAGAAGUCAGAGCCCGUUAAUGGGUGAUGGCGUGCCUUUUGUAGAAUGAACCGGCGAGUUACGUUCCCGUGCAAGGUUAAGGUGAGAAGCCGGAGCCGCAGCGAAAGCGAGUCUGAAUAGGGCGACUUGAGUACGUGGACGUAGACCCGAAACCGUGUGAUCUACCCCUGCCCAGGGUGAAGGUGCGGUAACACGCACUGGAGGCCCGAACCCACGAAUGUUGAAAAAUUCGGGGAUGAGGUGGGGGUAGCGGAGAAAUUCCAAUCGAACUCGGAGAUAGCUGGUUCUCCCCGAAAUAGCUUUAGGGCUAGCCUCGGGAGAUGAGUAGUGGAGGUAAAGCACUGAUUGGGUGCGGGGCCCGCCAAGGGUUACCAAGUCCAGUCAAACUCUGAAUGCCACAUACUUUAUCCCGGGAGUCAGACAGUGAGUGCUAAGAUCCAUUGUCAAGAGGGAAACAGCCCAGAUCAUCAGCUAAGGUCCCCCAGUGUGUGUUAAGUGGGAAAGGAUGUGGAGUUGCAAAGACAACCAGGAUGUUGGCUUAGAAGCAGCCACCAUUGAAAGAGUGCGUAAUAGCUCACUGGUCGAGUGACUCUGCGCCGAAAAUGUAACGGGGCUAAACACACCACCGAAGCUAUGACCUGAACAAGUAAUUGUUCUUGGGUAGGGGAGCGUUGUAUGCAGGUUGAAGGUGUACUGUAAAGAGCGCUGGACAGCAUACAAGUGAGAAUGCCGGUAUGAGUAACGAAAAGAUCAGUGAGAAUCUGAUCCGCCGAAAGCCUAAGGGUUCCUGAGGAAGGCUCGUCCGCUCAGGGUAAGUCGGGACCUAAGGCGAGGCCGAAAGGCGUAGUCGAAGGACAACAGGUUGAAAUUCCUGUACCACCGUGAACCGUUAUGAGCAAUGGGGUGACGCAGAAGGAUAGUGACGCGGACUGAUGGAUGUCCGUCCAAGCAGAGAGGCUGGUGUGUAGGCAAAUCCGCACAUCGUAAGGCUGGUCUGUGAUGGGGAGUGAAAAUUACAGUAGCGAAGGUCAUGAGUUCAGGCUGCCAAGAAAAGCCUCUAGCCAGGGAGAAGGUGCCCGUACCGUAAACCGACACAGGUAGGCGAGCAGAGCAUGCUAAGGCGCGCGGAAGAACUCUCGUUAAGGAACUCGGCAAAAUGACCCCGUAACUUCGGGAGAAGGGGUGCCUCGGUAGGGUGAAUAGCCCGAGGGGGCCGCAGUGAAAAGGCCCAAGCGACUGUUUAGCAAAAACACAGGUCUGUGCGAAGCCGCAAGGCGAAGUAUACGGGCUGACGCCUGCCCGGUGC